Aquila chrysaetos chrysaetos is the source of this 1223-nucleotide long non-coding RNA. RefSeq lists it as uncharacterized. Lineage: Eukaryota; Metazoa; Chordata; Aves; Accipitriformes; Accipitridae. The record is from RefSeq and is a predicted model, not a curated record. The transcript is spliced from 4 exons.
CGGCGCGGCCUCUCCCUCCGCGCAACCUACGUACCUCCCGGAGGUACGGCCGCGCCGUUUGCGUAACCGAGCUACGGGAAUACGGCGGGAAGGCGGAGGGCGGGCGAGCGAGCGCGGCGGCGACUUCGUGAGGGGAGAUGGCGUGGGGGAGCGGCUCCCUCACGGGCAUCGCCGUCCCUCGGGGCUUCCCGGGGCUGGCCCCGGGCCCGGGAGGGGCUGGCCCCGGGCCCUCGGGCAGCGGGGAGCCAGUGCUGGGGCGAGGAGCCUGCAGCGAGCGCCGCCCUGGGGCUGCUGCAGGCCACUGAGCGGAAGCCCCUGUGUGGGCAUCGUGCCCGCAGGCUCCUCUGUGCGUGGCACUGCUUCACCCUCCCGUCCCUUGGGUUCUUCCUCACGGUGCCCCUUUUCCCCCUGUUGCCCAGCACCUUCGCGGGUCUGUGUGUUACGUUUCCACUCUGUCGGGUGGUGCCCGUUGCUGCUGUCCCCCAGCUCCUCUGCCCUGUCUCAGGCCAACGCCUCUGUCUAAACGGCUCGUGUCCUGCGAACCAGUCGCUGACCCGAAGCUCAUCACCGGCCCUGGUAUAUGUUCUUUCUUCCUCUGCACAGCUUUGGGUCUCGGCCUCUUUCCCGCCUUCUCCAGGAACAGGUACAGUUUCCACAUCAACAAAAUCGAAGCUGCUCAGGAGGAACCACAACUCCAUAAACUGCUGGUGUUCAAUCUCCAUGAACAGUUUUGUCAGUGGACUUGGAUGAGACUGCAAAGUCAGAGAAAGCAGCAGAGCUGGGAACAGCAAGCAGAUGCCCUGAGUCAGCCCAAGGAACUCCAGACAGACACACCAAUAUAACCAUCAGCACACUGAAACAGUCCAGUCUUUGAGAGGUCCUACAGAUUCCUCUGACAUUCCUGCUGCCCGAGAUGUUCAGCCCUGUUGGGAGACCCCUCCAUCCUCUUCCUGGUCAGGAAGGGGACACAACUGGGCCCUGGAAGACCAACUGGGUGGAAAGUGAAGGCAGGACUGGCUCUGAGAGUGGACGCCUGGUGAUACGGUUGAGAGUAAAUGUGGAUGAACAUCACUUCCCCUCUGCUGAUGGAGCAAUGAGGUUUCCUUGCCUCUCUCUGCCUGCUCUUCAACACCAAAUGGGUGAGUUUGCCUGCUUUCCUGUUUUUUUAAAUCAUUGUACCUGUAUUCCUUUCCAACUGCUGGGUCAGGGUUCCCAUAUCAUGU